Oreochromis aureus is the source of this 297-nucleotide long non-coding RNA. RefSeq lists it as uncharacterized. Lineage: Eukaryota; Metazoa; Chordata; Actinopteri; Cichliformes; Cichlidae. The record is from RefSeq and is a predicted model, not a curated record. The transcript has 3 exons.
GGCGUCAUCUGUGUUUCUUCCUUCAGAACUCAUUGUGGGUGCCUGCCCUCGGCCCACACACCUGUGGAGAGUGAACACCUGCGCCUCAUUAUCCCUGCCAUUAUUUAAGCCGAGGAAAGGAAGUUACUCAUCGCUGGAUCGUUGUAUGACUCGCAGGGGAGUUGUGAGUGAGUGGAGAGUGGCUGGCUGGAGAGUGGCUGGUGGUGAGCAGUGUGUAACCGAAGAGGAGCGAGAGUGUUUUUCCCCUGUCUUCCCCACCUUGGAUUUCCCAGAGCCCUUACCCCUGACACCAUUGUA